This 396-nucleotide transfer-messenger RNA is filed under the name Flavobacterium ichthyis. Its description in RNAcentral is "Standard tmRNA". It matches the Rfam family "transfer-messenger RNA". From Rfam's summary of the family: Bacterial tmRNA, also known as 10Sa RNA or SsrA, is named for its dual tRNA and mRNA-like properties. Its role is to liberate the mRNA from a stalled ribosome. The record is from RNAcentral. Lineage: Bacteria; Pseudomonadati; Bacteroidota; Flavobacteriia; Flavobacteriales; Flavobacteriaceae.
GGGGUCGACUGGUUUUGACAGCAAGUCGAAUUGAAAAGUAAGCACGUCGAGAACGGAAACAUAUCUCGUAAAUCCAUGUUUCGCACUUUUAUACGGCGAGAAUAACUACGCUUUAGCUGCUUAAUCCGAAUUAUAGUACGAUUUGCCUAGUUCCUACAAGGUAGGAAAGCUGGAUUCCUCUUGAAAGCCUUGGUUUGUGGCGUUCUGUUUAGGGGAACCGUAAAAAUAAACCUAGAAACGGUAAGGCUUCGGAACCGUUUUGACACUUUAGAAGAUAGGCGUUUGGUAGCGGUUUUCGGCUUAGCCAAACGAUGAAAAUUGAAUCGGAAACUAAACGUGUAGAAAGCUUUUUAGUUGCUUGUUUGGACGGGAGUUCGACUCUCCCCGACUCCACAG